GACGAACGCUGGCGGCGUGCUUAACACAUGCAAGUCGAACGAAGAGCGAUGGAAGCUUGCUUCUAUCAAUCUUAGUGGCGAACGGGUGAGUAACGCGUAAUCAACCUGCCCUUCAGAGGGGGACAACAGUUGGAAACGACUUCUAAUACCGCAUACGAUCUAAUCUCGGCAUCGAGGAUAGAUGAAAGGUGGCCUCUACAUGUAAGCUAUCACUGAAGGAGGGGAUUGCGUCUGAUUAGCUAGUUGGAGGGGUAACGGCCCACCAAGGUGAUGAUCAGUAGCCGGUCUGAGAGGAGGAACGGCCACAUUGGGACUGAGACACGGCCCAGACUCCUACGGGAGGCAGCAGUGGGGAAUCUUCCGCAAUGGACGAAAGUCUGACGGAGCAACGCCGCGUGAGUGAUGACGGCCUUCGGGUUGUAAAGCUCUGUUAAUCGGGACGAAAGGCCUUCUUGCGAAUAGUGAGAAGGAUUGACGGUACCGGAAGAGAAAGCCACGGCUAACUACGUG
RNAcentral lists this ribosomal RNA (510 nucleotides) under uncultured bacterium. Its description in RNAcentral is "partial 16S ribosomal RNA". It matches the Rfam family "Bacterial small subunit ribosomal RNA", at positions 28 to 507 of the family's 1533-position model. The record is from RNAcentral.